This is a transfer RNA of 94 nucleotides. It matches the Rfam family "tRNA". Rfam says of the family: Transfer RNA (tRNA) molecules are approximately 80 nucleotides in length. Their secondary structure includes four short double-helical elements and three loops (D, anti-codon, and T loops). Further hydrogen bonds mediate the characteristic L-shaped molecular structure. tRNAs have two regions of fundamental functional importance: the anti-codon, which is responsible for specific mRNA codon recognition, and the 3' end, to which the tRNAs corresponding amino acid is attached (by aminoacyl-tRNA synthetases). tRNAs cope with the degeneracy of the genetic code in two manners: having more than one tRNA (with a specific anti-codon) for a particular amino acid; and 'wobble' base-pairing, i.e. permitting non-standard base-pairing at the 3rd anti-codon position. The record is from Rfam.
GGUUCGCUGGCCUAGCGGUUAUGGCAUCUGUCUUACAUUCUUUAAAACGUUGUUUGCACACAGAAGGUCGAGGGUUCGAUCCCCCCGCGAAUCA